AUGAACGCUGGCGGCGUGCCUAAUACAUGCAAGUCGAGCGAACAGACGAGGAGCUUGCUCCUUUGACGUUAGCGGCGGACGGGUGAGUAACACGUAGGUAACCUACCUAUAAGACUGGGGUAACUUCGGGAAACCGGAGCUAAUACCGGAUAAUAUUUCGAACCGCAUGGUUCGAUAGUGAAAGAUGGCUUUGCUAUCACUUAUAGAUGGACCUGCGCCGUAUUAGCUAGUUGGUAAGGUAACGGCUUACCAAGGCAACGAUACGUAGCCGACCUGAGAGGGUGAUCGGCCACACUGGAACUGAGACACGGUCCAGACUCCUACGGGAGGCAGCAGUAGGGAAUCUUCCGCAAUGGGCGAAAGCCUGACGGAGCAACGCCGCGUGAGUGAUGAAGGUCUUCGGAUCGUAAAACUCUGUUAUUAGGGAAGAACAGACGUGUAAGUAACUGUGCACGUCUUGACGGUACCUAAUCAGAAAGCCACGGCUAACUACGUG
RNAcentral lists this ribosomal RNA (496 nucleotides) under uncultured bacterium. Its description in RNAcentral is "partial 16S ribosomal RNA". It matches the Rfam family "Bacterial small subunit ribosomal RNA", at positions 29 to 507 of the family's 1533-position model. The record is from RNAcentral.